GAUGAAGAACGCAGCGAAAUGCGAUACGUAAUGUGAAUUGCAGAAUUCAGUGAAUCAUCGAGUCUUUGAACGCACAUUGCGCCCCCUGGUAUUCCGGGGGGCAUGCCUGUCCGAGCGUCAUUGCUGCCCUCAAGCACGGCUUGUGUGUUGGGCCUCCGUCCUCCUCCCGGGGGACGGGCCCGAAAGGCAGCGGCGGCACCGCGUCCGGUCCUCGAGCGUAUGGGGCUUCGUCACCCGCUCUUGUAGGCCCGGCCGGCGCUUGCCGACACAUCAACCUUUUUUCCAGGUUGACCUCGGAUCAGGUAGGGAUACCCGCUGAACUUAAGCAUAUCAAUAAGCGGAGGA
This 345-nucleotide unclassified non-coding RNA is filed under the name soil metagenome. RNAcentral describes it as "partial contains 5.8S ribosomal RNA, internal transcribed spacer 2, and large subunit ribosomal RNA". The stretch from base 1 to 120 matches the Rfam family "5.8S ribosomal RNA", at positions 35 to 154 of the family's 154-position model. The record is from RNAcentral.